AUUGAACGCUGGCGGCAGGCCUAACACAUGCAAGUCGAGCGGAUGGAGGGAGCUUGCUCCUGGAGUCAGCGGCGGACGGGGGAGUAAUGCCUAGGAAUCUGCCGGGCAGGGGGGGAUAACGUCCUGAGACGGGCGCUAAUACCGCAUACGACCUGAGGGAGAAAGUGGGGGAGCUUCGGACCGCACGCUAUCAGAUGAGCCUAGGUCGGGUUAGCUAGUUGGUGGGGUAAGGGCCUACCAAGGCGACGAUCCGCAACUGGUCUGAGAGGAUGAUAAGUCACACUGGAACUGAGACACGGUCCAGACUCCUACGGGAGGCAGCAGUGGGCAAUAUUGGACAAUGGGCGAAAGCAUGAUCCAGCCAUGCCGAGUGUGUGAAGAAGGUCUUCGGAUUGUAAAGCACUUUUAGUUGGGAGGAAGGGCAGUAAGUUAAUACCUUGCUGUUUUGACGUUACCAACAGAAUAAGCACCGGCUAACUUCGUG
This 484-nucleotide ribosomal RNA is filed under the name uncultured bacterium. Its description in RNAcentral is "partial 16S ribosomal RNA". It matches the Rfam family "Bacterial small subunit ribosomal RNA", at positions 30 to 507 of the family's 1533-position model. The record is from RNAcentral.